Molecule: long non-coding RNA, 656 nt
Organism: Papaver somniferum (opium poppy)
Lineage: Eukaryota; Viridiplantae; Streptophyta; Magnoliopsida; Ranunculales; Papaveraceae
Exons: 2
Source: RefSeq, a predicted model, not a curated record
UGUAAAGCCCCGUCUCCCCUUUACCCGUUUUAUGUGCUAUCGGUUUGGAUUUCACCCGGUUAUGUGUUGUUUUAUUUUUCUAGCUAGUGAUGUGGCCUGCUCUUUCAAUCCUAAACAUAAAAGCCGUUUCAUUUCCUUUUUAAAACCUGUCGAAACGUUAGGAAACCUUUGGGUGGAAAUGGUUACCCUAAUGAAUUUAGAAAUAAAUUAUAUUAGGAGAAACAUUACUACAUGAAUAAAUGAGCAUCAAAAUUGUUUUAUUACAUGAAUUAUAAGUAGAAAUUUUAGGAUGAGUAACGGAGGGGAAGAAUUGGAGCUGUAGAGAGAGCGCUAAGGUUUUUUUUUUGGGAGAACAAACCAACGGAGAAAUCAGAUAUUCUAGGUUAAUGGUGUUGAAAGGGUACGCCACAUGAAUCUUGACACCAUCACUGGCAGCUACCACAGAUCAUUACUACACAGAAAACCUUAGGCGACGACUCGAAAUGGAGGAUCAAUUUUCAGAAUAACUGUACCCCAAAGAGUUAGACAUGGAAUAAUUCGUACUUCUGGGCAUAGACAGACUCGAUCCACAUGGAUUAAAUUGUAACUAAUGCGUACCAUUUGCAAUUUCAUUAAUAUUUAAACAGAUAGAACAAAUGUUUUAGUGGUUUUUGUUA